GAGGGUAUAGCUCAGUGGUAGAGCCCAUGCUUAGCAUGCAUGAGGUCCUGGGUUCAAUCCCCAGUACCUCCA
RNAcentral lists this transfer RNA (72 nucleotides) under Camelus bactrianus (Bactrian camel). It matches the Rfam family "tRNA". Rfam says of the family: Transfer RNA (tRNA) molecules are approximately 80 nucleotides in length. Their secondary structure includes four short double-helical elements and three loops (D, anti-codon, and T loops). Lineage: Eukaryota; Metazoa; Chordata; Mammalia; Artiodactyla; Camelidae. The record is from Rfam by way of RNAcentral. RNAcentral also lists the same sequence under 2 other names.